GCCAUGCAUGUCUCAGUGCAGCCGUACGCGCUCGCGCGUCUAGGUGAAACCGCGAAAGGCUCAUUAAAUCAGUUAUGGUUCCUUGGAUCGUACCACUCAGUUACUUGGAUAACUGUGGUAAUUCUAGAGCUAAUACAUGCCGACAGAGUUCCGACCGCCUUGUGCGGGAGGAACGCUUUUAUUAGAUCAAAACCCAUCGGCGUGGUUUCGGCCACGCCGACAACACUCGGUCCCCUUCGCGGGGGCCGACCAAGUGGUGACUCUGAAUAACUUUGUGCUGAUCGCACGGUCUCAGUGCUGGCGAUGCAUCUUUCAAAUGUCUGCCUUAUCAACUGUCGAUGGUAGGUUAUGCGCCUACCAUGGUGGUAACGGGUGACGGGGGAUUAGGGUUCGAUCCCGGAGAGGGAGCCUGAGAAACGGCUACCACAUCCAAGGAAGGCAGCAGGCACGCAAAUUACCCACUCCCAGCUCAGGGGAGGUAGUGACGAAAUAUAACGAUACGGGACUCAUCCGAGGCCUCGUAAUCGGAAUGAGUACACUGUAAAACGUUUAACGAGGAUCCAUUGGAGGGCA
Molecule: ribosomal RNA, 573 nt
Filed under: Acizzia uncatoides
Lineage: Eukaryota; Metazoa; Arthropoda; Insecta; Hemiptera; Psyllidae
Description: SSU rRNA
Rfam family: Eukaryotic small subunit ribosomal RNA
Source: RNAcentral